AUUGAACGCUGGCGGCAGGCCUAACACAUGCAAGUCGAACGGUAACAGGAAGCAGCUUGCUGCUUCGCUGACGAGUGGCGGACGGGUGAGUAAUGUCUGGGAAGCUGCCUGAUGGAGGGGGAUAACUACUGGAAACGGUAGCUAAUACCGCAUAAUGUCGCAAGACCAAAGAGGGGGACCUUCGGGCCUCUUGCCAUCGGAUGUGCCCAGAUGGGAUUAGCUUGUUGGUGGGGUAACGGCUCACCAAGGCGACGAUCCCUAGCUGGUCUGAGAGGAUGACCAGCCGCACUGGAACUGAGACACGGUCCAGACUCCUACGGGAGGCAGCAGUGGGGAAUAUUGCACAAUGGGCGCAAGCCUGAUGCAGCCAUGCCGCGUGUAUGAAGAAGGCCUUCGGGUUGUAAAGUACUUUCAGCGGGGAGGAAGGGAGUAAAGUUAAUACCUUGGCUCAUUGACGUUACCCGCAGAAGAAGCACCGGCUAACUCCGUG
RNAcentral lists this ribosomal RNA (490 nucleotides) under uncultured bacterium. RNAcentral describes it as "partial 16S ribosomal RNA". It matches the Rfam family "Bacterial small subunit ribosomal RNA", at positions 30 to 507 of the family's 1533-position model. The record is from RNAcentral.